GGAUAAGUUACUAAGGGCGCACGGCGGAUGCCUUGGCUCUCAGAGGCUAGGAAGGACGUGUACAGCUGCGAUAAGCUGCGUAGAGGUGCCUAAAAACCUUUGACGCGCAGAUUUCCGAAUGGGGCAACCCAUCCUUUUUAAAGGAUUUAGAGCAAACCCGCUGAACUGAAACAUCUAAGUAAGCGGAGGAAGAGAAAAUAAAAAUGAUUCCCCAAGUAGUGGCGAGCGAACGGGGAAGAGCCCAAACCAAUGAUGUUACGGCAUCAUUGGGGUUAUAGGACUACAAUGUGGAUAUACAAAUAAAAUGGAAGCAGUUGGGAAGCUGUAUCAUAGAGGGUGACAAUCCCGUACAUGUAAGUUUUUAUAUUCUAGUAGUAUCCUGAGUAGCACGGGGUCGGUGAAGCCUUGUGUGAAUUUGCCAGCACCAUCUGGUAAGGCUAAAUACUCCUGAGAGACCGAUAGCGAACUAGUACUGCGAAGGAAAGGUGAAAAGUAUCCCGAACAGGGAGGUGAAAAGAACCUGAAAUCGUGCGCUUACAAGCGGUCGGAGCCCGAAAGGGUGACGGCGUGCCUUUUGCAUAAUGAGCCUACGAGUUACUCCUCACUAGCAAGGUUAAGUAUUUAAGGUACGUAUCCGAAGCGAAAGCGAGUCUUAACAGGGCGUAUAGUUAGUGGGGGUAGACGCGAAACUUUGUGAUCUACCCUUGGCCAGGAUGAAGUUCAGGUAACACUGAAUGGAGGUCCGAACCGGUUGACGUUGAAAAGUCUUCGGAUGAGCUGAGGGUAGGGGUGAAAGGCCUAUCAAACUAAGAGAUAGCUCGUACUCCCCGAAAUGUUUUUAGGAACAGCCUCGGAUGAAGUGUAAUAGAGGUAGAGCUACGAAUUGGGUAAGGGGAAGUCAAAUUCUACCGAACUCAGAUAAACUCCGAAUGCUAUUACAUACUAUCCGGGAGUGAGGGCAUGGGUGCUAAGGUCCGUGCCCGAGAGGGAAAGAACCCAGACUACCGGCUAAGGUCCCCAAGUGUAUGUUAAGUUGAACAAAUGUGGUCCAGUCGCCUAGACAGCCAGGAUGUUUGCUUGGAAGCAGCAAUUCAUUUAAAGAGUGCGUAACAGCUCACUGGUCGAGCGACAGGGCAUAAACAAUAAACGGGCAUAAAACAUACCACCGAAGCUUUAGACAUAUUUAUAUGUGGUAGGGGAGCAUUCCAGUUGCGGUAAAGGUCACUCGUAAGGGUGAUUGAAGCGGCUGGAAAAGCAAAUGUAGGCAUAAGUAACGAUAAUGGGGGUGAAAAACCCCCACUCCAUAAAUUCAAGGUUUCCUGAUCAACGAUAAUCGGAUCAGGGUUAGUCGGGACCUAAGGCGAACCGUUUCAGGGAAGUCGAUGGCAAACAGGUUAAUAUUCCUGUACCGGCCGAGAGGGACGGAGAGAUGUAGUCCACACGUACAGACGGAUGUGCGUUGAGCCUAGUCUACGGACGAAGCGAGUGGAUGAGUUCUCUUCCAAGAAAAGCUCCGGCAUUAACGCCCGUACCCCAAACCGACACAGGUGAAUGAGGAGAGAAUCCUAAGGAGCUCGAGUGAUUCAUGGCUAAGGAAUUAGGCAAAAUAACCCUGUAACUUCGGGAGAAAGGGUUCCCACUUCGGUGGGACGCAGUGAAAAGGCCCAGGCGACUGUUUAUCAAAAACACAAGGCUCUGCAAAAUCGAAAGAUGACGUAUAGGGUCUGACACCUGCCCGGUGCUGGAAGGUUAAGAGGGGGUGUUAUCUUCGGAGAAGCACUGAAUCGAAGCCCCAGUAAACGGCGGCCGUAACUAUAACGGUCCUAAGGUAGCGAAAUUCCUUGUCGGGUAAGUUCCGACCUGCACGAAUGGUGUAACGAUCUGGGCACUGUCUCAGCCAUGAGCUCGGUGAAAUUGUAGUAUCGGUGAAGAUGCCGAUUACCCGCAACGGGACGAAAAGACCCCGUGAACCUUUACUAUAGCUUUGCAUUGGGUUUGGAUAUUUGAUGUGUAGAAUAGGUGGGAGGCUUUGAAGCGAUGCCGCUAGGUAUUGUGGAGCCACCGUUGAAAUACCACCCUUCAAAUAUUUGGAUCCUAACUUUUUUACAGAGGACAGUGCAUGGUGGGUAGUUUGACUGGGGUGGUCGCCUCCAAAAGAGUAUCGGAGGCUUCCAAAGGUACCCUCAGCACGCUUGGUAACCGUGCGUAGAGUGCAAUAGCAAAAGGGUGCUUGACUGAGAGACCUACAAGUCGAUCAGGAACGAAAGUUGGGUAUAGUGAUCCGGCGGUUCUGCAUGGAAAGGCCGUCGCUCAUAGGAUAAAAGGUACUCCGGGGAUAACAGGCUGAUCUUGCCCAAGAGCUCAUAUCGACGGCAAGGUUUGGCACCUCGAUGUCGGCUCGUCACAUCCUGGGGCUGGAGAAGGUCCCAAGGGUUGGGCUGUUCGCCCAUUAAAGUGGCACGCGAGCUGGGUUCAGAACGUCGUGAGACAGUUCGGUCUCUAUCUGUUGUGGGCGUAGGAAAAUUGCGAGGAUCUGACUUUAGUACGAGAGGACCGAGUUGGACAUACCUCUGGUGUAUCUGUUGUGGCGCCAGCUGCAGUGCAGAGUAGCUACGUAUGGACUAGAUAAGCGCUGAAAGCAUCUAAGCGCGAAACUAACCUCAAGAUGAGUUUUCCUUUAAGGGUCGUGGAAGAUGACCACGUUGAUAGGCUACAGGUGUACAGGCGGUAACGUCAAAGCCGAGUAGUACUAAUUACCCGUAAACUUACCUAU
This 2773-nucleotide ribosomal RNA is filed under the name Bacteroidia bacterium. RNAcentral describes it as "23S ribosomal RNA". It matches the Rfam family "Bacterial large subunit ribosomal RNA". The record is from RNAcentral. Lineage: Bacteria; Pseudomonadati; Bacteroidota; Bacteroidia.